UACGUAGGGUGCGAGCGUUGUCCGGAAUUAUUGGGCGUAAAGAGCUCGUAGGCGGUCUGUCGCGUCUGCUGUGAAAACCCGAGGCUCAACCUCGGGCCUGCAGUGGGUACGGGCAGACUAGAGUGCGGUAGGGGAGAAUGGAACUCCUGGUGUAGCGGUGGAAUGCGCAGAUAUCAGGAGGAACACCGGUGGCGAAGGCGGGUCUCUGGGCCGUUACUGACGCUGAGGAGCGAAAGCGUGGGGAGCGAACAGG
RNAcentral lists this ribosomal RNA (253 nucleotides) under uncultured bacterium. Its description in RNAcentral is "partial 16S ribosomal RNA". It matches the Rfam family "Bacterial small subunit ribosomal RNA", at positions 524 to 776 of the family's 1533-position model. The record is from RNAcentral.